Molecule: long non-coding RNA, 883 nt
Organism: Felis catus (domestic cat)
Lineage: Eukaryota; Metazoa; Chordata; Mammalia; Carnivora; Felidae
Exons: 3
Source: RefSeq, a predicted model, not a curated record
AUCUGACCUGUCGACAGGAGGCUCUGUGCAACCUCGUGCUGGUGCUGGGGACCCGCUUACGGCGAAGGAGGUGGGGGCAGUGAGCCCGUGGCCGUGGGACCCACCGGUCCCCUAACACACCACACGGCCCAGAAGCUGCUGGCCCAGCGGAGCAACGAAGCUGCCUUCUGGCUCAGAGUUGAUAGCCUAGGGCGGAUGCUUCCAGAAAGGGAUGUGGUAAGAGUCUGAUUCAAUGCUGGGUCACGGCUCCUCGUGCCAGAAGACUAGCAGGUCAAGGAAGGGGUCUCCUCGCGGCCACCGGAGGAGGGAGCAGCCAGAAUCCUGGAGACGCUCUUCCGACGGUGACCCCUGUGGCUGGCGGGUCUGAGGGGCGCCAAGGUGGACCGUGGUCGGCAUUACGGCGUGCUGCCCAGAUUCGCCCCUCAGAACGAGGGCUCUCAUUCCCUCCGUGGCUGGGAGUAUAGGCUGCCGAUGGCUCAGAGAAGUCCCUCCUGGGGAGCUGCCCUCAGCUGCGGGCCACCCCCUCCCUGGACGCAGCCCCGUGCAGACUGGCUUGUGCAUGGUGCAAAGGCUCCACCCUCUGGUCUCAGUUCAGGACGUCCCUGUGGGGCCAGGUGGCCCCUCACCAGACAGCCUCUCCUCCCCAAGCAGCAGCCUGCAUGCAAGGGCCUGUCUCUCAGGGAGCCCAACCUGUGUCUCCUAGAGCCUCGCCGAAGCCUGGCCUGUUACCCAGCACUCUGGUCUUGUCUUGUGUCCCUGCUGCAUCAGUGACGCUCCCUCGACCUGGAACCACUCCUUGCAUUUUGUCCCUUCGCCUCAAACAGAAGUCACAGGUCUGAUCGAUUGUCCUGACCCCGCCAGGCCUCCCUGUGAACACUCACCG